AAUCAUUCUGUCGAUACCUAUUGACAAAGCAUAUACCACACUGAUAGAUUAACCAUUGCACUGACUUCACAAAAUAAAAAUGUCGUAUAUGCAACACUUGAAAAGUAAUUUUUUCUGGAUGCAAUUGCUCUUGUUUCUUCAUAGCAUCAAUGUUUGGGUCAAAAUAAGUGGUUGUCUCGUUCCUUCGUACCACCUUCAACAUAAUCAUCUUCAAGGACUUCUCUCAAGAAAACAACUUCUCCAGGGACAUCAAGCAUGACAUCUUCUUCCUGAUCUAAAAGAAAAACUUUAUUGACAACAAUUAAAGACUUUGUGGCCAUGAUAUGUAAAUGCCUAUGUUUUGCGCUGAUGAUUUAUUAUGCACUCGUAUAAACUAGAAUCAGCAGCGCCCGAAGAUAAUUUAUGUAUUUACUUCAUUCGGCGUCCAGACAUAUGUGUUUUCGCCGCGUGUGUCCUGACCUAUUUAGUGAGUCAAAACCACAAACAGAUGCAAAUCUUCCUUCAAGAAGAAGAAAAAAUAAAACCAAACCCGGCAUGUGUAUGUGAUUCAGAGAAGGCGACUGAUAGGCGCCGGUCGACCGGCCGAAAGCCUGCGCCGGUCACCUACCGGCCGUUCGAUUCACCCCAUCCCGCACCGUUGAUUUUCCUUCUUCUCCUUUCUCAGCCUGGUCAACGCAUCCCUUCCCUACACCAGCUAGUCAACGCGCAGCUCUUACAUCGGGGGCUCCUCGUGAGGCACGGCGGCCGCAUUCAUCGGCGUCGAGCCAGUCGCCCUUCGGAAGCACCCACAUUUCUGUAGCUUCUCGCUUGCCACUGUCGGCUGCAACAUAGGGCGUAGUCACCACCGCCCGCCAAUCCAGCAAAAAAUGGCCGGUUCAUCCCCGCCGUCGCCGCCAACACACCGGCCGUCGAGCAGAUGCAGCAUCACGCGUCGCCGCCGCAUCACGGCUCACAUACCCCCUCUCGUCGGGCUGCAGGAAACCAAGGCGCAGGUCCUAGCAUCCUUGCCGCGCCCGCCGCCUCCGUUGUAGCUCCUGGAGUUGCUGGUGUUGGUAUUGAUCUAGAGGCCCAAUGGGCCAAAAUAAAAAUAAAAGACCAGAAAUAAAGUUACGUUAAAGAGAGAAACAGGGAGGCCACGAACCAACGUUCGUACCCCUCGAUCUCAACUUACGCGCCCUAAUCGGGGGCACCCUAACCAACUAUGGUUUUGGUCCCCUGUCGCCAGCGCACAUAAAAAGAUGGGGGAGCAGCCGGCACCUACGUCAGACUAGUUCUCGUACGGUUUACUCCUACUCCCCACAUCCCUAAACCCUAACCGAUCUGGGGGAGCGUUGCAUGACGGGAAGAUCAUCUCCAAGCUCUGCCCCUGUCCCUGGGCAGUGCCGGUGGCGCCCGGAGGGACGCCUCUACCUGCAGCGAGCAUCUUCACCGAGCCUGCAUCAAGCCUGCAUCGAGCAGGCACGGGACUUCGCACCGUCGACACCAAUGGCUGCUUCCAUUGGUGGUAAGAACCUAAUCCAUCUCUCUGAUCUGUGCUAUUAGGUGAUCUAACGCCUGGCUUACGAUCUGUUAAGUAUAUCCUACGGGAUGAUAAGUUUAACAAUGGUAUCUUGAGCAUGGUUAAGCCUAGAUUAGAUCCCUAAGAUGAUCUGCUUAAGUUUGAUGAUCCUGAUUACGUACUAAUGAUUAAGGUUUAAGUCUAAUGGUUCAUGAAUAAGGUUAGAUUGCCCUCUGUUGAAGUUGAUGUUUGAUCUCUAGGGUUAUGUGUUUCGGUCAAAGUCUCAUUUGGCUAUGGGUCAGUGCUAAUUAUCCAGUGAUUAUGAUAAAUCAUGUUCUGCUAGUUUGAUUUGCCACGUUUCCGCAUCAAUAUUGUUAAUUAGCACUGGUUUUAGUUCCUGUUAGCAAUUAGAACAUGAUGAAUUGGCUAAGUUAAAGUCAGCCGAACCCUAACUCUAGAAAAUCCCCAAAUUUGAAACCCUAGUUUUCCUUUUGUGAAAUCCUCCAUUGGUGAGUCCAAAUGAUGAAUGAAAUUGGAAGAAGAGAAAAGAUGACGGGCACACCCAGAUGACGCCGG
RNAcentral lists this long non-coding RNA (2074 nucleotides) under Triticum aestivum (bread wheat). RNAcentral describes it as "long non-coding RNA (TAES_LNC010795)". The record is from RNAcentral. Lineage: Eukaryota; Viridiplantae; Streptophyta; Magnoliopsida; Poales; Poaceae.